Molecule: ribosomal RNA, 504 nt
Filed under: uncultured bacterium
Lineage: Bacteria
Description: partial 16S ribosomal RNA
Rfam family: Bacterial small subunit ribosomal RNA
Source: RNAcentral
AUUGAACGCUGGCGGCAUGCCUUACACAUGCAAGUCGAACGGCAGCAUGGAGAGCUUGCUCUCUGAUGGCGAGUGGCGAACGGGUGAGUAAUGCAUCGGAACGUACCGUGUAAUGGGGGAUAACGUAGCGAAAGUUACGCUAAUACCGCAUACGACCUGAGGGUGAAAGCAGGGGAUCGCAAGACCUUGCGUUAUACGAGCGGCCGAUGUCAGAUUAGCUAGUUGGUGAGGUAAAGGCUCACCAAGGCGACGAUCUGUAGCGGGUCUGAGAGGAUGAUCCGCCACACUGGGACUGAGACACGGCCCAGACUCCUACGGGAGGCAGCAGUGGGGAAUUUUGGACAAUGGGGGCAACCCUGAUCCAGCCAUGCCGCGUGAGUGAAGAAGGCCUUCGGGUUGUAAAGCUCUUUUGGCCGGGAAGAAAUCGCACAGGCUAAUACUCUGUGUGGAUGACGGUACCGGCAUAAGAAGCAGCGGCUAACUACGUGCCAGCAGCCGCCGUAA